Molecule: ribosomal RNA, 397 nt
Filed under: uncultured bacterium
Lineage: Bacteria
Description: partial 16S ribosomal RNA
Rfam family: Bacterial small subunit ribosomal RNA
Source: RNAcentral
AAUAUUGCACAAUGGGGGAAACCCUGAUGCAGCCACGCCGCGCGAGUGAAGAAGUAUUUCGGUAUGUAAAGCUCUAUCAGCAGGGAAGAAAAUGACGGUACCUAACGAAGAAGCACCGGCUAACUACGUGCCAGCAGCCGCGGGAAUACGUAGGGGGCAAGCGUUAUCCGGAUUUACUGGGUGUAAAGGGAGCGUAGGUGGUUUGGUAAGUAGGAUGUAAAAGCCCGGGGCUCAACCCCGGGCCUGCAUUUGAAACUAUCAAGCUGGGGUGCAGGGGAGGUAGGUGGAAUUCCUGGUGUAGCGGUGAAAUGCGUAGAUAUUAGGGGGAACACCAGUGGCGAAGGCGGCUUACUGGACUGUAACUGACACUGAGGCUCGAAAGCGUGGGGAGCAAACA